This 3600-nucleotide unclassified non-coding RNA is filed under the name Acromyrmex echinatior (Panamanian leafcutter ant). Its description in RNAcentral is "ubiquitin-protein ligase E3B, transcript variant X1". The record is from RNAcentral. Lineage: Eukaryota; Metazoa; Arthropoda; Insecta; Hymenoptera; Formicidae.
UCUCGACUCCGAGUCUCCAAAGAUAUCUUACGUUGGAGUGGCGUUCCAUAAAGAUCACUACAUAUCAUGGAUAUCGCAAAUGAAGACAAUUUUAUACCACUGUCUCUCCGGCUUGGACAGCCUGAAGCCGGAGAGGGUAUCGGAUCACAAAUCCAUACUUCUGCGACUGCACACUCUGGUGAGUUUCACAUCGCCUGGAACGUGGGCAAUACAGAAGGUGAAGGGUAUGGACCAGCUAAAGACUGGCAUGAGUCAGCUGUGCGCAAACAUAAUGGGCCACCUAGUUAACAAUGGAUUUUAUGCUACUAUGCAGGCUCUCUUAAUGAAGGGACUGGGUAGAGCGAAAAUUGCUUUGAAACCAGUUACACUUUCAGCAGCAGUUACUCUGACACUGAGACCACUGAUCUCUUCGCAAAUGUCCGACAAACUGGUGUCUCUGUUUCUAAUUAACAUUUUUAGCGUACCAGCUCUGGUCUAUCACCUGAAUAUCUUGUCACCAGAGUGCAUUUCAUCGUUUACAACGAAUAAUCUGUUUGCGAGAAGUUUGGAGUUGCUAAAUUCCGAGCAGAAUUUAAGGAUCGUCUUUAACGCUUUGGAGGGCAGUUAUGCGCUUUGUUUACUUGCUAAUUUGAUACAAUUGGCGAAUAUCGAAAGGGAAGAAGUAUUGAGAGAGCUGUGCUUUCCUUCUUUUACGUUCGUUGUGACGAGAAUGCUGGAAGCAUGUCAACAAUAUGUAGUCGCCAAACGGAGUAAUUUGACACAUUGGCAUCCAGUAUUAGGCUGGUUUGCACAGACAAUUGACACCUCCUUGCAGGACGCGACUCCUUCGGUAAAAUUACAACUCGUCUGUCUUUGGACGGGCAGGAUCGUUACGCAUUUAGUUGAACAGCCAUUAAUCGAAUUCGUCGAGAAAGAGGUACCACCUCCGGUAGAGCAGCAAAGUACCUCUUCUAUAGGCGCGAAUAUUUUCCGGCGGGCAUUUCUUGAGGCUCGAACUAAUAGGAACAACAGCACCAAAAACUACAGAAAGCUGGGCAGUCCGGAAGCUACCAAGAUAGCUCUAAUCUGUUCUCUAUAUCAAACUACGUUGCAUACGCUCACACAGAUGAAGAUAGAGAUAUUAACGGGAUUAUGCUAUCAAGGCAAAAUUCUUUAUCACAUGUGGCUGUUUUUGACCACCUUGGGACCCCACUGUGGUCUAAAAGCGUUUCUAGAUCUCUUGGCGGCUAACACCAAAUGCACAGCACCUGAAUUCCAAAUGCUGAUACUGUUCGCCGAUUGUAUGACGCACUAUGUUACCAUUUUAGACGAUAUGGAAAUGUACGAACAUCAAGAUCCUUUCAAGCUCACGGACUUCAUUACUAUGUCAUAUUUUUUAAAUCAAUUUUUGUACAAAGCGGUUCUCACUAAUUUAUUUGAUGUGAAGUCGGUAUCCAACAAUCCUUUGUUUAUCUCACUUUACAUUCUUUUAAUGGCAAUAUAUCGACGUGAUUGCCGCAGAACGUUCUGCCCGGAAGGUCACUGGUUAGCCAAGGAAGUACGAGUGUCUGGCUUCUUGGCUGAUUUGGAAAAGGGACGACGCGGCGCAGCACUUUUACUCUCAAAAAUGCCUCAUGUCAUUCCUCAUUCCGAGCGAGUCGUAUUAUUUCGCAAGCACAUAGCUGAUGAAAAAGCAGUGAUGGGUUUGACCGAGAGCGCUUGCAACAGCCCACCUACUACUCUAAUUGUUGUGCACAGAACGCGAAUAGUUGAAGAUGGCUACAGACAAUUGGCCAUGUUGCCAUCACAAGCACUGAAAGGUGUGAUUAGGGUACGCUUUGUAAACGAACAAGGUUUAGCUGAAGCCGGUAUCGAUCAAGACGGAGUUUUUAAGGAAUUCUUAGAAGAGACAAUAAAACGAGUAUUCGAUCCAUCUUUGAAUUUGUUUAAAGCUACUAGUGAAAACCGGCUCUAUCCGUCUCCCACAUCUUUCAUGCAAGAUAAUCACUUGCAACUAUUCGAAUUCGUCGGACGAAUGCUUGGCAAAGCGGUUUAUGAGGGUAUCGUCGUGGACGUGCCUUUUGCGUCAUUCUUUGUCUCGCAAUUUUCCGGGCAAACAGGCGGCGCAUUGUACAGUUGGUUGGACGAGCUUGCUUCACUAGAUCGCGAUCUCUACCGUAGCUUGACUUUAGUAAAGCAUUACAAAGGCGAUAUUCGUGAGCUGGAGUUGACGUUCUCUCUCGAUGAGGACGUGCUUGGCAAGCUGGUCACGCACGAACUGAUUACUGGCGGGCGCACCACUGCCGUGACCAAUCAGAACAAGAUUCAAUAUAUCCACCACAUGGCGCACUAUAGAAUGUAUCAUCAAAUCAAGGAGCAAACGACCGCCUUCAUCAAGGGAUUCCGCUCGAUCAUUAAUCCCGAGUGGCUGUCGUUGUUCUCAACGCCCGAGUUACAGAGAUUGAUCUCGGGUGAUAACGUACCUUUGGAUCUGCGAGAUUUACGAAGGCAUACGCAAUAUUAUGGAGGAUUUCACGACAGUCAUCGAGUAGUAUGCUGGUUGUGGGACAUCCUAGAAAAGGAUUUUACGGAAGAAGAAAGAGGCUUGUUCUUAAAGUUCGUGACGAGUUGCUCGAAGUCACCUCUGCUAGGUUUCGCUCACCUGGAGCCACCUUUUUCCAUACGAUGCGUAGAAGUUUGCGAUGACGAAGAUACUGGCGACACUAUUGGCAGCGUAAUCAGAGGUUUCUUCACGAUUCGCAAGAAGGAUCCGCAAAAUCGACUGCCCACUUCGUCAACGUGCUUCAACUUGCUCAAGUUGCCGAAUUAUCAGAAAAAGAGCACGUUGCGAGAAAAGUUGCGUUACGCUGUCACCAGCAAUACCGGUUUCGAACUUUCCUAAGUGUUGCCGAUCACGCGUUUUUAUUUUCAAAAAAGACUAGCACAAAGGAUUGUGUUAAGAAUUUGUCGAAAUAUCACGCAGUUUUCGACAGUUGGAACGAGAUGAUCGGCGAUCGAAAAUGUCGAGAUUUCGCAGGGAUAAAAAAUCGACUGACAUGAUCGAUACCUCAGAUUCGACAAUGUCGAGUGAUGCCUAAACCGCCCUUAUCCCCAUCCAGUACCAAUUAACAGCCCAAUUAAAUGCGUCGCUGUUUAAAUACCUGUUGAUUUUUAGCUAACACGAACGUUUUAGAGAACGUCUUAAAAGCGUCGCAGUUUUUUUUUUGUAAAAACAUUGCGACCUUGGUAUUUUUCGGGGAUUGAUGGUAUCAUGAAGCAACAUGAGAAUAUACAACAUAAAGGGUGAAGCCUGUUUACAACGUUCGUUUCUGCGGUCUUCGAUAUAUAUUUAUACAGGCACACAUUACCGAUGUGAAAUACACCAUACCUCAUGAGCUUAAUACCGCUGAGAUAAUUGUGCGCUUGUUAGUGGAUAGAAUCGUUGAUCAACGUUACAUUAAGGUCAGGGGUGGCGGACAUUUAAAUUUAUUUUCAUAGAUAACGUUGAAGAUAACAUUUGUUAUAGAUUACUCCUGGUGGACGUUUACUUCAGACAUUGAAUCAAUAAGCAAGAAAAGGUAUUAUUUACAGUCGUAAAAAAAAAUUCGUAAUAUCUUACGA